CCUGAUGAAGCUUUUCCCUGUAAACCUGGAAUCUUUAGAUACAGUUCCAAAAGGAGUUCCCUGUUCAGCCUCGAAGGCUGCUACACCAAAGCCUGAAUGAUCUCAAAUGACGGAAACAGAAUGAAUUCCAGAAGAGAUUAAGGCUGCAGAAACACAAGGAGUAGUGAUAUCUGAAGUGCUGGACUGGCUUGAGAUAGCAAGGCUGAUGCUUUGAGAUGCAUGUAUUUCAGAAAAUGAGGUUUUUCAAAUGAUGGCCUGUUGUAACUGAAAGCCAGGAUUUUCACUAUGGAUGUUUCUGAGAAACUGAAAAGAAGAGGAAAGGAAAAAAAUCCUCUGAAAUGCUUUAUGAAGGGUCAAAGAAGAGUGUCUAAAAGAAAAGCAACCAGUAAAGAGUGCUUUAAGUGCUUCUGAAAGCCACCCAGUCCUGGGGAUGAGGAUGAUCCAAGUGGGCUACAAUGAUUCAGAUACAUGCCUUCCCACUUCAGCUGGUCUCAGGCCUGGGAACACCCCUGGACACAGCUUCACAGGAGAGUGUCCCACUGAUAAAAAUGCACGGUGAAUUCUCAGAGCUGGAGCUGAAGAAGCCCAGUCUGCAAUGCAUGCUUUGACCUCACUUCAAUAAGGAUUAGCAGAGAUUUUUUUGGAAUUGUUCUCUCAAGCCAUUAAAAUCCACAAAUCUUCCUAAGUAUAGCAAAAUUAGCCCCAAAAUAGCUUCUGGCAAUAAUCACAGAUGAGGUGAGGUUUUCUUUUUUGUGUUUGAGUGGAGGGGGGUGUAUUUUAAUCUAUGCCGCUCACAUGCAAGUACGUGACAAGGCACAUGUAAGUUAUGUUACUCCAUAUGUUCUUCAGCUGAAUAUAACCUUGUGUAUGCAUACAUGUGUGCUUACGUGAUGAGCAAAGAAGGGGAUUUCAGAUCUAUGCACUGGGCAAAAUAUGUUUCGCUCAUGUUUCUUUCCAGCGUUUUGGAUGACAGCAAUGCCAGCCUUAGGUGGAGCCAACCAAUGUUAGACAGCUUGUUCACCACCACGUGGUUUGUGUCCUAUAAAGUCCUCUGCAAGAACACCCUCCCGAAAGCUGGGGGAUCAGAACUACUUUGUAAGAAAAAAAGUUGGCUGCUCCAUAAGGUUCAAACAGAGGAAUAUAAUAAAGCAAAGGAUAACGUAAAGAAAAUGCUGACUUGGCAAUAAUGUGGCUGUUAGCGCUCCAUCUCCACGACGUGGACCCUUCUGCUUUGGCACAGGGAAUUACAGCCUGAUUCUGAACUCCAUGUCAAGCAAUUCUCCUCUCUGUGACAGAGCAUUUUCAAUGCAUUGAGCACAUUCAGCAA
Molecule: long non-coding RNA, 1327 nt
Organism: Gallus gallus (chicken)
Lineage: Eukaryota; Metazoa; Chordata; Aves; Galliformes; Phasianidae
Source: Ensembl